This 674-nucleotide ribosomal RNA is filed under the name uncultured bacterium. RNAcentral describes it as "bacterial SSU rRNA". It matches the Rfam family "Bacterial small subunit ribosomal RNA", at positions 79 to 749 of the family's 1533-position model. The record is from RNAcentral.
CUUGCUUCUCUUGAGAGCGGCGGACGGGUGAGUAAUGCCUAGGAAUCUGCCUGGUAGUGGGGGAUAACGUUCGGAAACGGACGCUAAUACCGCAUACGUCCUACGGGAGAAAGCAGGGGACCUUCGGGCCUUGCGCUAUCAGAUGAGCCUAGGUCGGAUUAGCUAGUUGGUGGGGUAAUGGCUCACCAAGGCGACGAUCCGUAACUGGUCUGAGAGGAUGAUCAGUCACACUGGAACUGAGACACGGUCCAGACUCCUACGGGAGGCAGCAGUGGGGAAUAUUGGACAAUGGGCGAAAGCCUGAUCCAGCCAUGCCGCGUGUGUGAAGAAGGUCUUCGGAUUGUAAAGCACUUUAAGUUGGGAGGAAGGGUUGUAGAUUAAUACUCUGCAAUUUUGACGUUACCGACGGAAUAAGCACCGGCUAACUCUGUGCCAGCAGCCGCGGUAAUACAGAGGGUGCAAGCGUUAAUCGGAAUUACUGGGCGUAAAGCGCGCGUAGGUGGUUUGUUAAGUUGGAUGUGAAAUCCCCGGGCUCAACCUGGGAACUGCAUUCAAAACUGACUGACUAGAGUAUGGUAGAGGGUGGUGGAAUUUCCUGUGUAGCGGUGAAAUGCGUAGAUAUAGGAAGGAACACCAGUGGCGAAGGCGACCACCUGGACUAAUACUGACACUGA